RNAcentral lists this ribosomal RNA (726 nucleotides) under Escherichia sp. Its description in RNAcentral is "bacterial SSU rRNA". It matches the Rfam family "Bacterial small subunit ribosomal RNA", at positions 28 to 749 of the family's 1533-position model. The record is from RNAcentral. Lineage: Bacteria; Pseudomonadati; Pseudomonadota; Gammaproteobacteria; Enterobacterales; Enterobacteriaceae.
AUUGAACGCUGGCGGCAGGCCUAACACAUGCAAGUCGAGCGGAUGAAGGGAGCUUGCUCCUGGAUUUAGCGGCGGACGGGUGAGUAAUGCCUAGGAAUCUGCCUGGUAGUGGGGGAUAACGUUCCGAAAGGAACGCUAAUACCGCGUACGUCCUACGGGAGAAAGCAGGGGACCUUCGGGCCUUGCGCUAUCAGAUGAGCCUAGGUCGGAUUAGCUAGUUGGUGAGGUAAUGGCUCACCAAGGCGACGAUCCGUAACUGGUCUGAGAGGAUGAUCAGUCACACUGGAACUGAGACACGGUCCAGACUCCUACGGGAGGCAGCAGUGGGGAAUAUUGGACAAUGGGCGAAAGCCUGAUCCAGCCAUGCCGCGUGUGUGAAGAAGGUCUUCGGAUUGUAAAGCACUUUAAGUUGGGAGGAAGGGUUGUACGUUAAUACCGUGCAAUUUUGACGUUACCGACAGAAUAAGCACCGGCUAACUUCGUGCCAGCAGCCGCGGUAAUACGAAGGGUGCAAGCGUUAAUCGGAAUUACUGGGCGUAAAGCGCGCGUAGGUGGUUCAGUAAGUUGGAAGUGAAAUCCCCGGGCUCAACCUGGGAACUGCUUUCAAAACUGCUGAGCUAGAGUACGGUAGAGGGUAGUGGAAUUUCCUGUGUAGCGGUGAAAUGCGUAGAUAUAGGAAGGAACACCAGUGGCGAAGGCGACUACCUGGACUGAUACUGACACUGA